UUGAAGGAUAAUUUUCUUCUCAUAAUGCUAGCUGUUUUUCGUCUUCAUUCGAAAUUUGUAUUAAAAAAUAUAAGAUCACAUCGUAAUAUUCUAUUUCCAUUUCCCUCAUGAUAAUGUUGAAGGCGGAAUAACGAUGCCCUGAGUUAACUGAAUAAUAUACCAUUGCAGCUGGCUGGGGGCGCGAAAAAUUACUACACUACACUGGCCUGGCCUGGCCUGGGUUUGCAUCACAGACAAGUGGGGAAUGAGGUGACAAAUCAAAGAUGAAGAGCUGCAGUUUGAGGCUGAAGAGGGAGUCGUGCCAGCAACAGAAGAGAUACAGAAAUCUACCAAUAUCUAUUGGUAUAGAGAAAUUGUGUGUGUGUGUGUGUGUGUGUGUGUGUGUGUGUGUGUGUGUGUGUGUGUGUGUGUGUGUGUGUGUGUGUGUGUGUGUGUGUGUGUGUGUGUGUGUGUGUGUGUACUAGUGCAUGAAAUGAAGUAGAGCGAGGAGGGGUAUAAGAGACAGAGUUAUGGGCCAGGUAAAAGAUGAGGUCUAGAAAUCGAAUAUUUCAUAGCUUCCUACAUGUUUUCUACAUUACAUUAAUGUAUGUUUGCUUAUGUUUCAUUAGAUCAAGAAGAGGUUGGAUUAUGGAGGGCUCAUAUUGUUUCACAUAAAAUUGCGUAGUUGAAUUAUUGAA
Long non-coding RNA from Esox lucius (northern pike), 677 nucleotides. RefSeq lists it as uncharacterized. The transcript has 2 exons. Lineage: Eukaryota; Metazoa; Chordata; Actinopteri; Esociformes; Esocidae. The record is from RefSeq and is a predicted model, not a curated record.